RNAcentral lists this long non-coding RNA (2491 nucleotides) under Nicotiana tabacum (common tobacco). RNAcentral's name for it is "long non-coding RNA (NTAB_LNC003847)". Lineage: Eukaryota; Viridiplantae; Streptophyta; Magnoliopsida; Solanales; Solanaceae. The record is from RNAcentral.
AUAAGAAGUACUAUACAUGAAACAACACAACACAUUCCAGAGGACUCUGUUCUAGAAUACCUGUAAAAAAAAACAUUAUUCAGUUGUUUCAACUUUCAGCCAUAUGUCAAACACCUUGCGUAAAUUAGUGUGCACAAUGUUGUUGUAGUGACAAUCAACUCAUUAGAACCUCAUAUUUUCAAGUGCUUCUCAAACAUUCUUCUUCAACAUUUAUUCCCUUUGCAUAGAUAAAUUCAUCACAGUAUUAGUGUUUCUAGAGUAAUGUCAACUACCCAUAAUCACUAUAAAUUUUCUGUAAAAUGGAUUAAUUUGGCAGUAAUUAGUUUGUAACCAAAGCGAAUACUGACAAACGCCAUUAGAGGAUUUUGGUCAGUAAUUUCUCAAGCAGACACCAUUAGAGAAUUAAUCAAAAGAGAAAUCAAAUAAGAGCUAUUCAAAAUUACUCAUUGGAGUAUCUAUCUAGACAUGCAUGUGAAUUUCAGAUAAAAAUACUGAUAGAGUGAUACACUUUUAAGAAUCUAGUAAACGCUUUUCCACAAAUAAGUCAAAAAAAAAAUUAAUUGGAGAAAAAACGUACCACAACUGAGAGCUUAUACCAGAGACGAAUUAGACAAACGGACAACCUUCCCAAGAAUUCUACAAAUGAAUAAACUUUGAAAAAAUCCAGUGAUAGAAAUUUGGAAAUAAGAGAGAAGAAUGUGCGGGAACUAAAGUGUGUAAAAGAGCAUGACUUGUAGGGAGACAGGUAUUUAUUUUUCACGGCUGAAAGACGCGUUUAGAGGUUAGCCACAAAGAAGCUUAUAUUUACGGCAAUGCCCUUCGUCGUUCAAGAGGACCUUUACUUAUUAUAUUACUAGAUGUAGGCUCCCGUGCUCUGCACGGGCCCGAGAGCAUGCUGAGGCCCGUGCACCCCAUACUACAACAUUAGAAAGAGCUUGUGCUUUACUUAAAAUCAUGAGAAGAACAUCUCUCUUGCCUGUGAAUUUCUAAUACAUUGCAGCUCAGUUGAAUGGCCAAGUAUUUAAUUGAGACACACACAAUUCCUAAGAAUAUCUGAUCUUGCAACCAUGAUCUUUUCUACUGCGUGAAAAAAGAAAAUCAGCAAAGUCAAUUGUCUUCUCAAGAAUACAUUUGAAUUUUUUUUUUUGUUAUAAAGGAGCAAAUCUUGACUAAAAAAGGCAGCAAACAUUUAACUCUACUGGUGCUCAUCCCAGUAAAUCAUCCUAAAAGUACAAUAAAAGUAAUCUCAACUUUCUUAAUUAAGCAAACCACUUCAGCACCAGUGCAUUCUAUUUGAGUUUUGGUUGCUCGAUCAUCAGUUAAAGAAUAAUUUUCUUAAGGAACCCGCCUUUAGUAUCUGCAAAUUUUAUGAGCCCGCAAUUUUAAGCAUAAAACACAUGCUAAAUUCAGGUACAUGAAUCAUGAUGAACAAAAUGUAACAGUACAUGAAUCAUGAUGAGCAAAAUAUAACAGUAUACUCCGCACUCUGUCUAAAACCACAUAUAGUUAAACUAUAUAUCUUAUCUCUACUUGGAAUAGAUUCCACAUUCAUGCAAUGGAUGCCUACGUAUAAGAAGAGAAGUUAAGCAAAAAGUAGGUUCAUAUCUCUCUCCUUCAAUCUCGAUUUAUUAAAACAUGGACUUGCAAGCACCUUAAGGUUAAAGAUAAAGUAGGCGACAGGAACAGGUAAAAGACACUUGUUAGUAUACAACCAACUUUACCAACCAGCCUGCAUAUUGACAAAUAUAGCAUCUCAAAAUUUUGUCUGUUUGUGUAUCAAUCCAAGGAGAAUACAACCAUAUUUACUCUAAGACCUUAAGAAAUGUGCUAAAUUGAUCAUCACUGUCACACUUGUCCUCAGCUGAUUCUUUCUCAGAAAUACGGAUGCCGAUUAGAGUCAUGAUAAAUUGUGAAUUGGAGCCAUGGCGACUCAAAAACAGAAUCAACUCACUAAAAGCACAUGCUCUACAAAAACUAUCAACCAAAGCAAAAGCAACGGCAAAAACACUUUAGGGUGCAUGUCACCUAAAGAGUAGCAAGAUUUUCUUCAGAGUUCAAAAAGAACAAAUACGUCUCUCGCUUUGAAGGAUAGCAAUACCUCUUUUAAUCUGGCGAUGAUAAGUAUUGACAUGAAAAGUGGAGCAUCUCAAUCUUGAGGGGGGAAAAGACUGAAUCUCAUUAAAGCAGGUAUUCUUUUUCUUAGAGAGAUUUUGUUUGAUUUUUAAGUGAACCAUAAGAUGGUCGAAUGAGAACAUAAAGACAUGUAAAACACAGAACAUAUUUUAGUAAUAAAACAUACCAAAUAAUUUUCUCUUUUGAGGUAUAACUUUCCAAGACAUAGCAAACAAUUAAUGAAUAAAGAUAAAGAGAGGUAUAAUUGAGACACAUCACGUAUUUACAUCAUAACCAACCAGGGGUGGACAUUAUCACCAUUCAGAGAAAGUAUUCAAUUGCAGAAUUUGGGUAGAGCCUCACAUUCGAAAAACAAAUU